AUCAUCGUUCACGGAUAUGCUAUGAAUAUAGAAAAAGUAGCUGAAAGUUUUACUACAUCAUUGAGACAAAGAAGAGCUACUCGAAUUCGACAUUUCGCAAUUACAAAUAAAUUAAUUAUCACAAAGUUGUCUUAAGGUGUUUUUCAUCAAUAAAAAUACGGUACAU
This is a long non-coding RNA of Venturia canescens, 166 nucleotides long. RefSeq lists it as uncharacterized. The transcript has 2 exons. NCBI's taxonomy places the organism in Eukaryota, Metazoa, Arthropoda, Insecta, Hymenoptera, Ichneumonidae. The record is from RefSeq and is a predicted model, not a curated record.